RNAcentral lists this ribosomal RNA (460 nucleotides) under Peribacillus sp. RNAcentral's name for it is "bacterial SSU rRNA". It matches the Rfam family "Bacterial small subunit ribosomal RNA", at positions 21 to 472 of the family's 1533-position model. Lineage: Bacteria; Bacillati; Bacillota; Bacilli; Caryophanales; Bacillaceae. The record is from RNAcentral.
GGCUCAGGACGAACGCUGGCGGCGUGCCUAAUACAUGCAAGUCGAGCGAAUCGAUGGGAGCUUGCUCCCUGAGAUUAGCGGCGGACGGGUGAGUAACACGUGGGCAACCUGCCUAUAAGACUGGGAUAACUUCGGGAAACCGGAGCUAAUACCGGAUACGUUCUUUUCUCGCAUGAGAGAAGAUGGAAAGACGGUUUACGCUGUCACUUAUAGAUGGGCCCGCGGCGCAUUAGCUAGUUGGUGAGGUAAUGGCUCACCAAGGCGACGAUGCGUAGCCGACCUGAGAGGGUGAUCGGCCACACUGGGACUGAGACACGGCCCAGACUCCUACGGGAGGCAGCAGUAGGGAAUCUUCCGCAAUGGACGAAAGUCUGACGGAGCAACGCCGCGUGAACGAAGAAGGCCUUCGGGUCGUAAAGUUCUGUUGUUAGGGAAGAACAAGUACCAGAGUAACUGCUGG